CUCUUAUCAAGAGCGGCAGAGGGACUGGCCCUACGAUGCCCGGCAACCUUCAACUACUUAUGUUGAAAAGGUGCUAACUCCUGCAAGGUAUAUUUACCUUGAGAGAUAAGAG
RNAcentral lists this non-coding RNA (112 nucleotides) under Haloplasma contractile. Its description in RNAcentral is "SAM-I sequence". It matches the Rfam family "SAM riboswitch aptamer (S box leader)". Rfam says of the family: The SAM riboswitch is found upstream of a number of genes which code for proteins involved in methionine or cysteine biosynthesis in Gram-positive bacteria. The SAM riboswitch acts at the level of transcription termination control. Lineage: Bacteria; Bacillati; Mycoplasmatota; Mollicutes; Haloplasmatales; Haloplasmataceae. RNAcentral also lists the same sequence under 1 other name. The record is from RNAcentral.